This 534-nucleotide ribosomal RNA is filed under the name uncultured bacterium. RNAcentral describes it as "bacterial SSU rRNA". It matches the Rfam family "Bacterial small subunit ribosomal RNA", at positions 976 to 1509 of the family's 1533-position model. The record is from RNAcentral.
UGGCCUUGACAUACUAAGAACUUUCCAGAGAUGGAUUGGUGCCUUCGGGAACUUAGAUACAGGUGCUGCAUGGCUGUCGUCAGCUCGUGUCGUGAGAUGUUGGGUUAACGUCCGCAACGAGCGCAACCCUUUUCCUUAUUUGCCAGCGGGUAAUGCCGGGAACUUUAAGGAUACUGCCAGUGACAAACUGGAGGAAGGCGGGGACGACGUCAAGUCAUCAUGGCCCUUACGGCCAGGACUACACACGUGCUACAAUGGUCGGUACAAAGGGUUGCUACCUCGCGAGAGGAUGCUAAUCUCAAAAAGCCGAUCGUAGUCCGGAUCGCAGUCUGCAACUCGACUGCGUGAAGUCGGAAUCGCUAGUAAUCGCGGAUCAGAAUGCCGCGGUGAAUACGUUCCCGGGCCUUGUACACACCGCCCGUCACACCAUGGGAGUUUGUUGCACCAGAAGUAGGUAGUCUAACCGCAAGGAGGACGCUUACCACGGUGUGGCCGAUGACUGGGGUGAAGUCGUAACAAGGUAAGCGUAGAUGA